RNAcentral lists this ribosomal RNA (401 nucleotides) under uncultured Lachnospiraceae bacterium. RNAcentral describes it as "bacterial SSU rRNA". It matches the Rfam family "Bacterial small subunit ribosomal RNA", at positions 356 to 774 of the family's 1533-position model. The record is from RNAcentral. Lineage: Bacteria; Bacillati; Bacillota; Clostridia; Lachnospirales; Lachnospiraceae.
GGGGGAUAUUGCACAAUGGGGGAAACCCUGAUGCAGCGACGCCGCGUGAAGGAUGAAGUAUUUCGGUAUGUAAACUUCUAUCAGCAGGGAAGAAAAUGACGGUACCUGACUAAGAAGCCCCGGCUAACUACGUGCCAGCAGCCGCGGUAAUACGUAGGGGGCAAGCGUUAUCCGGAUUUACUGGGUGUAAAGGGAGCGUAGACGGUUAUGUAAGUCUGAUGUGAAAACCCGGGGCUCAACCCCGGGACUGCAUUGGAAACUAUGUAACUAGAGUGUCGGAGAGGUAAGUGGAAUUCCUAGUGUAGCGGUGAAAUGCGUAGAUAUUAGGAGGAACACCAGUGGCGAAAGCGGCUUUCUGGACGACAACUGACGCUGAGGCGCGAAAGCCAGGGGAGCAAACG